Molecule: long non-coding RNA, 1220 nt
Filed under: Equus caballus (horse)
Lineage: Eukaryota; Metazoa; Chordata; Mammalia; Perissodactyla; Equidae
Description: lncRNA (ENSECAG00000049758.1)
Source: RNAcentral
CGGGGCCGUGGGGAUGAGCCCGGCUCCAACUGUUGCUAAGUGUGGGCUUCUGGGUUUGUCCACAGGCCACAGUGCUGUGGAACGGGAGACAGACUUGAUCUGAUAACGACGCAGAGUGACUUUUCGGGUGCAGAGCCAAUGUGCCCUGGUGGGAGCAAACAUGGGACACGAGGGGAAGCACAGGGGGUGCCUGCCUGUUCUCGGGACAGGAAGUCGGAGUGGUUGUGAGUGUGGAAGCCACGCAGGUGCUGCCACCCAGCUCCAGGAUGAAGCUAGCCCCGAGUGCUAGCUGGUGACGCUGCCUUCCACGGAGGCCCCACCCAGCACAGUCUGAAGGGAGAAGGGAGCAUCUGGAACGAAGCAGAAUAGUGCCUCCUACCCCCACCGUUGGCAGGGCAGGCCUCCCUCAUUCCUGCCUUCCACUCUGCUUGGGAGCCUGGGCCCACCUCCCUCACCACCCAUCGUUUGAGCUGCACCUGUGGCUGGUCUCAUGACACAUGGAUUCCAAGCCUGCACACCCUGCGUUGGACAGGAGAUUGCCUGCUGAGUGGGCACCCACACCUGCACUCAGACCCUGCCUACCACCAGUCUCCCACGCCCACGGCCCAGCCUGCCAGUGCCCAAACACUGCUGGUUCUUCACCAUCCCAGGGCCUUUGCACCUGCUGUUCUUUCAACCUGGAAUGCCUGUCCUGUUCCUACCUACCUGGCAGUUCUCAGCCAUCCCUGAGGACUCACUCUCAACCCAGGCCCCCCAGCCUGCCAAGACACAGUCUCCCCUCCUGAUCCAGGAGAGAGAGGACCCCGCCCAGACUCUGGCCUAACACCUGUGCUUUUUGUCUGUCCUUCACCCUCUCCUGGUGCACCACGUGGCAGGGCCAUAUCUGAUUCCCUUUGUGGCCUAGGUCCUGAGGGCUCUGGGCCAGCCUGGCCAGGAUUGGGAUCCCCACCAGCUGUGUGGUUUGGUAAGUCACUUACUUCUCAGAGCAGCGGUCUGCACCUAAAGACCUUCCUGAUGGAGCCAAGGGGGCUGAGCAGGACGGCCUGACACAAAAGCCACCCCAGAAGGCACUGCCUUUCUUGUUGGCAUUAUUGGCAUGAGGGCAGUUUAACAAACACCAGUGCAGGGCGGACGCGUGGAGGUACAGGGCCCGGUGGGGGAGCUGAGAGCAGCUCUGUGGCUUUCUGCCACAGUUUCGAGUCUUGGAUGUCCUGUGGGCA